UUUCGAAUUAUUUACAAUGGGCGAAAGCCUGAUAGUGUAACGCCGCGUGGAGGAUGAAGGUCUUAGGAUUGUAAACUCCUGUCAUUGAGCAGCAAAAACUGGAUUCAUAAUCCAGCUUGAGUUAACUCAAAAAGGAAGUAGUGGCUAACUCUGUGCCAGCAGCCGCGGUAAUACAGAGACUACAAGCGUUGCUCGGAAUCACUGGGCGUAAAGGGUGCGCAGGCGGUUGAAUGUGUCAGGUGUGAAAUCUCGGAGCUUAACUCCGAAAGUGCGCUUGAAACUGUUCAACUAGAGUGCUGAAGGGGUAAGCGGAAUUCCGUGUGUAGCAGUGAAAUGCGUAGAUAUACGGAGGAACACCAAAGGCGAAGGCAGCUUACUGGGCAGCAACUGACGCUAAUGCACGAAAGCAUGGGGAGCGAAAG
This 422-nucleotide ribosomal RNA is filed under the name uncultured bacterium. Its description in RNAcentral is "partial 16S ribosomal RNA". It matches the Rfam family "Bacterial small subunit ribosomal RNA", at positions 355 to 774 of the family's 1533-position model. The record is from RNAcentral.